Molecule: ribosomal RNA, 798 nt
Filed under: Triticum aestivum (bread wheat)
Lineage: Eukaryota; Viridiplantae; Streptophyta; Magnoliopsida; Poales; Poaceae
Description: partial small subunit ribosomal RNA
Source: RNAcentral
AUGAAUUGCCUAGUUUGGAACUGUCGAGGGGCGGGGAACCCUCGAACAGUUCGAGAUUUGCAGGCUCUAUGUAGAGUCAAUUCCUCGAGGAUGGUGUUCCUUUGUGAAACUAGGCAGCAAAGGAACAAAAUGAGCAGACUUCGUAAUCGGUUAGGGCUGCGAGGGUUUGAUGGUAUUAGCAGUCAAGGAAAAAGUGGAGGUUUAGCAUUGUUUUGGGAUGAGUCUUUGUAUGUCAACGUGCAAGAUAUUAAUGAAAGAUGGAUUGAUGUGUUUGUACGAAUGUCACCCAAUGAUCCUCUUUGGCGAGUUACCUUUGUUUAUGGCGAGCCGAGGGUGGAGAAUAGGCAUAUGAUGUGGGAAACCUUGUGCAGAUUGAGGAAUACUACAGAUUUACCGUGGCUAGUCGCUGGUGAUUUUAAUGAGGUGCUGUGGGAUUUUGAGCACUCAUCCAUGACGGACAGACCACAAGCUCAGAUGACGGCGUUCAGGGACUGUUUUGAAACAUGUCAGUUAGUUGAUUUGGGCUUCUCUGGAUACCCCUAUACAUACAAUAAUAAGAGAAGUGGACGCGCAAACGUACAAGUUCGGCUGGACAGGGCUGCGGCUGACAAUGCUUGGCGUGAUCUCUUUCCGGAAGCGGCAGUGGUGCACCUCAUGUCACCGAGGUCGGAUCAUAGGCCGCUGCUUGUUCGCUGCACGCCGGAGACGCGUGUGAAGACGGGCAGAACACGGAGGUACGAGGUAAUGUGGGAACGAGAGGCAUCCCUUGCAGAAGUGGUGGAGGAGGCAUGGGCUUGA